RNAcentral lists this ribosomal RNA (450 nucleotides) under uncultured bacterium. RNAcentral describes it as "partial 16S ribosomal RNA". It matches the Rfam family "Bacterial small subunit ribosomal RNA", at positions 354 to 796 of the family's 1533-position model. The record is from RNAcentral.
GUGGGGAAUAUUGGACAAUGGGCGAAAGCCUGAUCCAGCCAUGCCGCGUGUGUGAAGAAGGUCUUCGGAUUGUAAAGCACUUUAAGUUGGGAGGAAGGGCAGUAAGUUAAUACCUUGCUGUUUUGACGUUACCGACAGAAUAAGCACCGGCUAACUUCGUGCCAGCAGCCGCGGUAAUACGAAGGGUGCAAGCGUUAAUCGGAAUUACUGGGCGUAAAGCGCGCGUAGGUGGUUUUGUAAGUUGGAGGUGGAAUCCCCGGGCUCAACCUGGGAACUGCCUCCAAAACUGCAUGACUAGAGUACGGUAGAGGGUAGUGGAAUUUCCUGUGUAGCGGUGAAAUGCGUAGAUAUAGGAAGGAACACCAGUGGCGAAGGCGACUACCUGGACUGAUACUGACACUGAGGUGCGAAAGCGUGGGGAGCAAACAGGAUUAGAUACCCCUGUAGUCC